This 251-nucleotide unclassified non-coding RNA is filed under the name uncultured fungus. RNAcentral's name for it is "partial contains 5.8S ribosomal RNA, internal transcribed spacer 2, and large subunit ribosomal RNA". The stretch from base 1 to 52 matches the Rfam family "5.8S ribosomal RNA", at positions 103 to 154 of the family's 154-position model. Lineage: Eukaryota; Fungi. The record is from RNAcentral.
AACGCACCUUGCACCUUUUGGUAUUCCGAAAGGUAUGCCUGUUUGAGUGUCUUGAAUUAUCACUUUAAAGAGUUUUUCUCUUUAAACGUGGAUGUGGGUUUGCAAUCUGCUCACCUAGAAUGCCUUAGUGGUUCAAACUGGAUCCUGAUGUAAUAAGUUUCAUUAGGUGAAAGGAAGACUGCUUCUAAUUGCCUUUGGGCUCUCUUUUAAGACUAGACCUCAAAUCAGGUAGGACUACCCGCUGAACUUAA